GCAAACUUGGUCAUUUAGAGGAAGUAAAAGUCGUAACAAGGUAACCGUAGGUGAACCUGCGGUUGGAUCAUUAAAGUAAAAAACAAUGAAAGUAUUUUAAUUAGUGAAUUUUAUUUAUUAUUUAAAAACUUUUAUUAAACCAAAUGCGAACUUUUUUAAAGUCUUUAAUGGGUUAAAACAAUCAUGAAAUUUUUUGUGAUUGAGUUCAUUUAUUUGAACUACCCAUUAUCUUUUAUUUAAACCAAUUGUAUUCUUAGUCAUUUUUAAAUUAAAUUUUAAAUUAAAAAAACAACUUUUGACAACGGAUCUCUUGGCUCUCGCAUCGAUGAAGAACGCAGC
RNAcentral lists this unclassified non-coding RNA (339 nucleotides) under uncultured fungus. RNAcentral describes it as "partial contains small subunit ribosomal RNA, internal transcribed spacer 1, and 5.8S ribosomal RNA". The stretch from base 1 to 73 matches the Rfam family "Eukaryotic small subunit ribosomal RNA", at positions 1759 to 1831 of the family's 1831-position model. The record is from RNAcentral. Lineage: Eukaryota; Fungi.